UACGUAGGGGGCAAGCGUUGUCCGGAUUUAUUGGGCGUAAAGAGCGUGUAGGCGGUUUGGUAGGUCCGCUGUGAAAACUCGAGCUCAACUUCGAGACAGCCGGUGGAAACCAUCAGACUAGAGUCCGGAAGAGGAGAGUGGAAUUCCUGGUGUAGCGGUGAAAUGCGCAGAUAUCAGGAAGAACACCCGUGGCUAAGGCGGCUCUCUAGUACGGUACUGACGCUGAGACGCGAAAGCGUGGGGAGCGAACAGG
RNAcentral lists this ribosomal RNA (253 nucleotides) under uncultured bacterium. Its description in RNAcentral is "partial 16S ribosomal RNA". It matches the Rfam family "Bacterial small subunit ribosomal RNA", at positions 524 to 776 of the family's 1533-position model. The record is from RNAcentral.